Molecule: small nucleolar RNA, 210 nt
Filed under: Sinocyclocheilus anshuiensis
Lineage: Eukaryota; Metazoa; Chordata; Actinopteri; Cypriniformes; Cyprinidae
Description: Small nucleolar RNA U3 (ENSSANG00000022103.1)
Rfam family: Small nucleolar RNA U3
About the family: Small nucleolar RNAs (snoRNAs) are involved in the processing and modification of rRNA in the nucleolus. There are two main classes of snoRNAs: the box C/D class, and the box H/ACA class.
Source: Rfam by way of RNAcentral
AAGACUGUACUUUCAGGUAUUAUUUUUAUAGUUCUUAACUAAGAAAUGCGUUUUGGAAGUGUUGAGUCUUCUAAACUACGAGGAUGAACUUUGAUGCUUUUUUCUGAGCGUGAGUCGGGUGUAGAGUAAUGAUUUGUUUCGUAAGCUUUACAUCGUCGAUGAACGUUUUUUGCUGCGUUUUUGCAGUGAGAAAGAAGAGAGUAGAAUCGU